Physeter macrocephalus (sperm whale) is the source of this 3757-nucleotide long non-coding RNA. RefSeq lists it as uncharacterized. The transcript has 2 exons. The record is from RefSeq and is a predicted model, not a curated record. NCBI's taxonomy places the organism in Eukaryota, Metazoa, Chordata, Mammalia, Artiodactyla, Physeteridae.
UGAACUUCACUGGUCCUCUUAUACUUGUAUUUUUUUCAAUAGUAAAUCCUACAGUACUACACAGUCCCUGGUUGGUUGAACCUGUGGAUGUAGAGGAGGAACCUCAGAUAUGGAGGGUCAACUAUAAGUUAUACUUCGAUUAACCCCCAGCAUUAUUCAGGGGUCAACUGUAUUUUUAAAAAUUACUCCUGUGACCAGUUGGGUUUCUGCUAAAAAUACAUGGUUGGUUUAUCAUUAAAAAUCAAUUUAUAUAAUUUAGUAUAUUAACAUAUUGAAGGAAAAACAUCACAUAAUUAUCUUAAUAGAUGCAGAAAAAGGAUUUGAUUUGAAAGAUAUCCAGUAUUUAAAUUCAUGAGUUCAUAAAAAACUGGUCACCAUUGGAGUAUUCUAGUGAACCAAUUUAUUAUUCUGAGAAUUGGUCUAAAAGGAAAGAAUGAAGUAUUUAUCUUGUUUUUAACUAUACCAAUGGGUAACCAAAUAGUAAAUUAGAGGGAAUGUCUCUUUAUAAAAAUAUUUCAGCUAAUAAAUUAAGGAAGAAUAACAAUAUCACCAUUUUAUAACUCCUCAUAAAUUAAUGAAUCUAGGCAUUAAUCAUCAACAGUUGCUAGUAUCUCAAAAAGAAAGACAACCUGAUGACAUGUACCUCCUGAUGGAAGAUCAAAAUACCACUUUGAAGGUGUUUUCCUCCCUCCCCCAUAAAAAUACUGAAUGUGGUUAAGCCUCUAGACCCAAUUACCAAUUUAUAGGAAAUAGAAGAAAACAGAGCAACAUGUUAAACAACAUCACAUGGAGCUCAUUAAAAUGGAGACCAUCAGAAACUUUACUGAACACAUGACAUAGGUUCUUCAACAAAUAAAUUGCAGAGAAAAAGAGAAAGCAGAAGACUUGAUUGAGAGAUACAGCAACCAGUUGUAACAUGUGCCUCUUAUUUGGCUUUUAAAAAUAUAUAUAUAUAUUUAUUUAUUUUUGGCUGCAUUGGCUCUUCGUUGCUGCACGCAGGCUUUCUCAACUUAAUUGAGAGAUACAGCAACCAGUUGUAACAUGUGCCUCUUAUUUGGCUUUUUAAAAAAUAUAUAUAUAUUUAUUUAUUUUUGGUUGCAUUGGGUCUUCGUUGCUGCACGCGGGCUUUCUCUAGUUGCGGCGAGCGGGGGCUACUCUUUGUUGCGGUGCGCGGGCUUCUCAUUGCGGUGGCUUCUCAUUGCAGAGCACGGGCUCUAGGCACGUAGGCUUCAGUAGUUGUGGCACGUGGGCUCAGCAGUUGUGGCGCACGGGCUUAGCUGCUCCGUGGCACGUGGGAUCUUCCCGGACCAGGGCUUGAACCUGUGUCCCCUGCAUUGGUGGGUGGAUUCUUAACCACUGCGCCACCAGGGUAGCCCUCUUAUUUGGCUUUUGAUUCAAACUAAAAAUCAAAAACAUAAUUUAUAACAUUUGAGACAACCUUUAAUGUUCACUUAGUCACAUAGUUCAGACCCAAACCUGUGCCAAGGGAGAUUAAGUACACUUACUGCUCUUGUUCUGCCUAGCUCAGACCAACAGAGGCCAUUAGACAAGCUCAGGAGUCUAAGGGAGGAAUCUGAGGUUUAUGUUAGCUAAGCCCAAGUUGUAGCGUAAGUGGUAAUUGAAAAAAAGCAACAUAAUAGAAAUAAUAGCACCACAACAAUAAAAUGCUUAUAAAGAGCAAGACAUUUGGUAUACCCUUUUUCGGCUUGCAAAAAAAGUAUGUCAUAACAAAUGGAAAUCUGAAAUUUUCAAUAGAGCCAAUGGCACUCCUAUCAGUUUUCGUUUGAAUUGUACAGUGAAACACCAGUACGUUUCCCAAUAAUAUCAGCAUUAUAUGAUUGGUAAAAUGAGAAAAAAAGAAGCACAAUAGUGAUCUGGUGGACUGUUUAAUUCAAAGCAUUACUGAGGCCAGUCUCAGUAGGUAUCCUCCAAAGGAAUCUUAGGAUUCUGGAUAAUUCUAAAACAGCCCUAGGAUAUGGGUUUGGUUUUUAGUUCUUGCAGAGUAAAGGUUAUUUGCUAUUCAGAAACCAGAAUUUCCAUUCCACUUGGGAUUUCUUGGGGUCAUAGUAGUGACCGAGACUUCUGAAGGCUGUACAUCGGAAGCAGCAUGAUUUCCAAGAUAUUCAGACCAAGAAUUGAUCCAUGCCCUUCAGUAUAACCACUGCUGAUUUCAUACCUGGUUGAUCCAUGCCUUUCUGAUGAGAGCUUUGUUCCUUGCCUAGAAAACCCUGACCUUUCCUAAUUGACCAGGCGCUCUAUUGGACCCUCCCAUUCCAAAACACCACCACAAGCAGACCCUGGGUAAGACAAUCUGGAGGGCAUCAUUGGUUUCAUAAAUGCAGGCAAAGUCUUCAGGGACAUUCUUCCACCCCCACACCCCCCAAAAUUAAGCAAGCAAGCAAGUGGAAGUUGGGCCAGAAACCUCCAGAACCAAAGUGUCUGAAAGUUAGGGUAGUUACACCUGAAACUUGAGACUAGAGAAGCCCCAAACAUAGAGGUUCCAGGGCUGCAGCAAGGGAAGCCAGAGCUGUGAGGAGGUGGCUUAGACCAGCGCGCAGUGGGAUGGGGCAGGAUGGUUAUAAAGUCAGAUUUUUAUAGCAACAAUAUAGUGCUUCUGAACAGCAGGGAAGUAGUAUGCUGAAGCUGGGCCUCCUUUCCUCCUGUAAUCCUCGAGAGGGAUGAAGUGCUGUUGAGUCUGGGAUAUAACACUAUUAAAUGUCUAAAUGAAGGAUACAGGAAGAUGAGCAUGGUACUCAGGAAUGAAAGACUGUUUAAAGUGAAGGAAGACAAAUAGUUGCUGAUAUUUUAAAAAUGAAGGCUUCGCUGCCCUGCACGGGGCCGCAACGUCGUCCCGGCCCGGGUGCGACGACUCGAGGGCCAGGGGCGCGUGGCGGCCGCGGGAGCCUCCAGAGCAGGAGCUGAGGUGGCACGAUGCACAGCAGCUGCAGCAGCUCAAGUACCUGGAGUCCUUUUAUGAAAAACCUCCUCCUGGGCUUAUCAAGGAAGAUGAGACUAAGCCAUAAGACUGUAUACCAGAUGUCCCAGGCAAUGAACAUGCCAGGGAGUUUGUGGCCCACGCACCAACCAAAGGACUUUGGAUGCCACUGGGGAAAGAAGUCAAAGUCAUGCAGUGAUACAACAGUUAAAACAGUUACUGGAGGAUUCAACAUCAGAUGAAGAUGGGAGCAGCUCCAGUUCCUCAGAAUGUAAAGAGAAACACAAGAAAAAGAAGAAAGAAAAGCAUAAGAAAAAGAAGAAAAAACGAAAGCAUAAGUCUAAGUCAAAUGAGAGUUCAGACUCAGAAUGACAAGAGCUUGACUUGUUCAACAUUCUCUUCCCCAAAAUCAAACACUGUGACUAAAGAUCAGAGGACUGUGGAAUCAGAGAGGAAUAGGAGAGAGAAAUACCAAGAGAGGAGGAGAUUUGGUGUCACAGGUGUGAAUUCUCACCUACCUUCCAGUAAAGAUGUGACCCCCCAGAAGAGUGAGUUGUAUCUUGCCAGGUGCUAGCUCUGGACAGCGGCUGAUUUCAGGCUGGAAAGCUUUUCUCAUUGUUCUCCUCCCUGCUGAUCACCGUGGGUCCUGAUUCCUUAGAAAUGCCUCUGGCAGGGUGGCCAGACUAAGGGAAUCUCUGAGGAAGCUCCUCCAGGUGCUGCUGCAGCUUCCACCCUCCAUGGUGGGGCUACUUUUAAUGCCCUUAGAUUUCAGGCCUGACUUCCCUCUGUUGCUAAGGAUAAAAGCUCAUUAUUUUAUUUAUU